This 1250-nucleotide long non-coding RNA is filed under the name Marmota monax (woodchuck). The record is from RNAcentral. Lineage: Eukaryota; Metazoa; Chordata; Mammalia; Rodentia; Sciuridae.
GGGAUCUAGCCAGCUGCCUGCGGUUGUGUACCCAAUUCCUUGUACAUUGGAAAGGUCCUCUCCUGUCCUCACUUGGUUAGAAUACAACCAAAUGGAUCCAUUUGACGACUUGCAAGAGUAACAGCUAGCCUGAAUUCAGCACCUUAUCCAAAAUAUUGAUAAGCACUCACCAAAGAAAAGACUGACUUUGAGCCUACAAUGGCCCUCUUUCAUUGACUGAGAGAUCUUCUCUGGUGGCCUAGGUGGUUCUCAAGAAAAUAUGUUUGGGUCAUGAAAAUGGAGGAAUGGUACUGGGAAGCUUGGGAGCGAGUGCAUGUGAGUAUCUUCUUAUUCGAUGUGAUUACAAAAUUGUCUUACAUAUGUUUGAUGAGUUUAUGAGAGAGUUCCAGAAAUUUAUCUUGGACACCCAGAUGAGCUAAUGGGAAACCAACUGUCGGUGGGAAAUGUUGCUAUCUUAUGAGGUUGGGCAGAGUUCAUUUCAUGUUGGGAACUCUGGGCAUCUCAUGGAUGAACAGAGUAGGAGGAAGAAAGUACUUGUCUGUUGUCCCCAUAACAUUCCCUCCUCUUUUUUUCUCCUCCCUACUCCUGGCUCCAGUAUUUUCUCCUGGAGAACUGCUGGCUGUCUGCAGACUUGUCUCCUUGGGAAGCUACACAAGCCCUGUAGACAGACAGACAGACACACACACACACACACACACACACACACAGUUCUUAAGUAAGACAUGAUCGUUCUUUUCUUUAAUAAAAAGAAGAAAGACUUCUCUGAUAAUAAAGGAAAUUUUCUCUGGGUCACUGGAGGUCAAAACAGUGUGGACCGGCUGCCCUCUGCCACUCAAAGCAACAGGUUGGGUGAGGAAAACACUGGAACUGAAUGUUAUCUUUCCCUACUAGUGGCCCCAACUCUCAUUCCAGCCCUCCCUCCACACCCCAGGAUCCUCUGGGCAGUGGGGGAUCAUGCGGAGGACUUCUGUUGAAAGGUACCGGUUAGCUUGCACACAGGAAAAGCUGGUCUCAGAGCUGUAAACUGCUCCAUUCUCUGCUAAGCUCACACUUCCCUUCCUCUCCACUCUGUCCUCAUGAGAGAUGUCCCCUAAUCUUGUAAAGAACCCCUACCUCAUUCAAAGAUGACAUCCUUUCUGCUGAGAUGUGCAAUGGAGGGGACUUGGUUCCCCUAGUACCAAACCCUGGUAAGACCUUCAAGACUUUUUCAAGCCUUUCCACCGAGGUUCGUUGCCAACCUGUUAUCCUGG